ACAGAGAUGCGAUUUAUUUGAAAUACUUCUAUUUCAAAUGCAAAUAUAAAAUGCAAAAUACCUAUUUUGUAUUUUGCAUUUAAAUGCCUUUCAGUAAAAAACAUUUUGUAUUUUAUUUGAAAUACCUUUCGAUAUGUAUUUUGCAUUUUUAAUAUUCAUUUCAAAAUGCAAAAUACUUUGUGAUUAAGUUUAGCCAACAUUAGCAGUCAAACAAAAUGAAUUGAACGAAUGACGCUUGUAUUGCCGAAUUUGACCGUUAGAGGCGCCUGAGGGCCUACCGCGAACCACGUUCGACGUGUUGCCUCCCUGUCACACUUACGUACGAAUUUACAAGUGCGACAGAGAGGCAAAACGUCGAACGUGGUUCGCGGUAGGCCCCUGAUAGCCAUGCGUGCCCUUUUUUACUUCUUUAGUGCGCGCCUUAUGUCGGACUAGUGUCAAUGUCAAAAGAAAACUACGAACAUUAUCUAUGGCUAUAAAAACGUAACGCCACUGACGCCGACGAUUCGAUUUCACGGAUUUAUUGUUUGCUGGUGCUGGUGAAGUGGUUACUGAUUUAAUUUGAUUACCUACUUUUAUGAUAUUGAAGUGUUGUUGUUAUCCCUACAAUACUGAAACGGCUAUGUACUGUACUGCAAGAUAAUUUAGAUAAUGUAAACAGACGUGACGUGGUGGAUUUGGUGUGUGGUGCUGGUGUUUAACAAUUCUAGCAAAAAAAAUGGAUAACCCUAAUCUACCAUUUAUAUUAAGGCACUGUUUUAAAGACGUGAAGAAGGAGGCUGAUCAUGAAAGCAAUAUAAGUGCUGUUUGCAAGAUAUGUUCAAAAACAUUGAAGGGAAGUCUGCACGCAACAACAAACUUCUUAAACCAUAUUAAA
Cydia pomonella (codling moth) is the source of this 877-nucleotide long non-coding RNA. RefSeq lists it as uncharacterized. NCBI's taxonomy places the organism in Eukaryota, Metazoa, Arthropoda, Insecta, Lepidoptera, Tortricidae. The transcript is spliced from 2 exons. The record is from RefSeq and is a predicted model, not a curated record.